GAUGAACGCUGGCGGCGUGCCUAAUACAUGCAAGUCGAGCGAACAGACGAGGAGCUUGCUCCUCUGACGUUAGCGGCGGACGGGUGAGUAACACGUGGAUAACCUACCUAUAAGACUGGGAUAACUUCGGGAAACCGGAGCUAAUACCGGAUAAUAUAUUGAACCGCAUGGUUCAAUAGUGAAAGACGGUUUUGCUGUCACUUAUAGAUGGAUCCGCGCCGCAUUAGCUAGUUGGUAAGGUAACGGCUUACCAAGGCAACGAUGCGUAGCCGACCUGAGAGGGUGAUCGGCCACACUGGAACUGAGACACGGUCCAGACUCCUACGGGAGGCAGCAGUAGGGAAUCUUCCGCAAUGGGCGAAAGCCUGACGGAGCAACGCCGCGUGAGUGAUGAAGGUCUUCGGAUCGGAAACUCUGUUAUUAGGGAAGAACAAAUGUGUAAGUAACUAUGCACGUCUUGACGGUACCUAAGCAGAAAGCCACGGCUAACUACGU
Molecule: ribosomal RNA, 495 nt
Filed under: uncultured bacterium
Lineage: Bacteria
Description: partial 16S ribosomal RNA
Rfam family: Bacterial small subunit ribosomal RNA
Source: RNAcentral